GCCAGCAUGGUGCAUUGGUUUGAGCACUGGACUAUGACUCUAGAGAUCAGGGUUUGAACCCCCACCUGGCC
This is a non-coding RNA of Phrynosoma platyrhinos (Desert horned lizard), 71 nucleotides long. The record is from the annotation of a GenBank genome assembly. NCBI's taxonomy places the organism in Eukaryota, Metazoa, Chordata, Lepidosauria, Squamata, Phrynosomatidae.